UGCGCGCGGACGUGUUCGGUCGUGCCCCCAAAAUCGUGGUCGCCUAAUCAGACGGACGCAAAUGCGUUAAGAACCAACAAAUCUCUCGAAUAUAGCUGAACGCACCAAGAGUGGUUAAAAGCAAAGCCCCUUUGGUUGUUAUUGAAAAUAUAUUCGUCAGCACGCGACUAACUCGAAACUCACGACUCUUGUAUAUUUUUUUUUUUUUUGGUGUUUUCCCCCCUUGCAAUUGCUAAGAAAAGUGUGUGUGGAAACGGUUUUUUUUUUGAUUGUUUUUCUUAAAGACAAAACAAAAAUUGCGCGCGCGCCUUUGAGGAAGGGAAAUAGAAAACAACAGAAGCAGCAGCUCUAAGGAAAAAGCGCUCCUGCAGCAGCAGCAUCAGCAGGAAACUGCCAAAAGGAAGGAACCACACACACAAAAAAGGAAAAGGAAAUUCCCGAAACGCCGAAACUUUCAUUGCAGCAUUUUCUAUAGCACAUUUGUUGCUCUUUUUUGUUGCUGUUGUUGUUGCACGGAUAAUAAGAUACAUAAAUCUCGUUUUGAGAAUUCCUACUGAUAAGAAAGAAAACAAAUCAAGAAAUCAAGCGCACGGAAGAGAAUUUUUUCGGUCAGAUUCAGGAUGGCUGUAAUCGAUCCGCCCGAGACGUUUGACAGUGCUAUCCAGAAAAUGGUAGAGCAAAUAGCUCAAAU
Long non-coding RNA from Drosophila obscura, 691 nucleotides. RefSeq lists it as uncharacterized. NCBI's taxonomy places the organism in Eukaryota, Metazoa, Arthropoda, Insecta, Diptera, Drosophilidae. The transcript is spliced from 3 exons. The record is from RefSeq and is a predicted model, not a curated record.